RNAcentral lists this long non-coding RNA (1769 nucleotides) under Phocoena sinus (vaquita). RNAcentral describes it as "lncRNA (ENSPSNG00000007056.1)". Lineage: Eukaryota; Metazoa; Chordata; Mammalia; Artiodactyla; Phocoenidae. The record is from RNAcentral.
GAGCUCUUAGCUCUUAGCCUCCGUCUCCAUUCGGCCCUCUCGAUCCUUCUCGACCCUACGUUCAAUCUGUUCUCAAAUCCCCCUCCCUCCCAGAAUUCCUUUACAGGUCACGCCCCCUCCGCUGGCCCUGACCCCGCCUUUGCCGUACACCGUGCCCCCCGUCUUAGAGGCCCCGCCCCGUUGGAGGUCCGGCUCCGGACUCCGCCCAGUUUCAGCUCCGGGUCCGGAAUCCGCAGGGUCUCAGUCUGUGGCCCCGACCCCCGCUCGCUCACCCCCAGACGCAGGCCCUGGAAGAAGUGCACGUCGGGCUGCGUGCGCUCGGGCUCCUGGCACACGAGCAGCAGCAGUGAGCAGCUCUGGCCCGGCGGUAUCACCGUGUCGCAACGCACGAUGGCGCUCAGCGGGCAGAAGGUCACCAGGUGCUGGAGAAAGCAGUGAGUCCCAGGAUGAAGCCAGGUGGGCUGAGAAGCCCCUGGAAUCAGCCUUAUAGCCGGCGACUACGCACACCUCCUCUGGGAAGCCUUCUCUGAUCACCUGCGCCACCUCCUCCCAGUGCCCUUUGUGUGUCUUCCCUGGGUCUAGCUCUCCAGCUAGACCCCUUGAAGGCAGAGAAUGGUCUGGAUUAUAUCUAGUUCCUUCUAAGCAGCUCUACCUCCGUUAGAGCACCUGGCAAUUUUGCUGGUACCUCUGGACCUUGUCUGACCCCUACUCAUCCAGGAUUGCAUCUGAUUUGUCCCUGUGGUCCAACUAUCCAGCACAGGAGCUGGUCCAGAGGAAAAGUUGGCAGAUUCAAGUGGAAUUGAGUUCCUCCACUGAAUACCCACAUCUGAGGCAAGGCAGAAGAGCAAACUGAGUUUCCCAAGUUCUUGCUGCUUGGAGGUCCAACUGCUUUCAACUCCCCCAUCUCCUCAGGCCUGCCUUGCCUCCUGCAAGACUCCCCGUGGCAACACAGACCCCAGACUCACAUUGACUGGAUAUUGGGAAACAUCGGCCAUAACCUCGGUGGAGUAACGCUUCCUCUGUUCUGUGGGGGAAGAAGGAGAAUGGCUGCAGGAGACCCAGCUCCCAGCCCCUUCCCCCUCAGACUCAGGAGUCCAGACCCCCAGCCCCCCCUCCCUCAGAAAAGGAGUCCAGACCCCCAACCCCUCCCCCAUCAGAUCCAGGAGUUCGGGUCCUCAGUUACCUCCUCCCUCAGACCUAGUUUCUCUUGGCCCGGGGCUUCCUUGCCCCUCAACUCACCAUAGAUAGACUUGGCACUCCGUUUGGGAGAAGCUUCUGGACUAGUGAAGGAAAAGAGGGGUGAGAGGGGCCAUGGGAAUUGGGGGCAGAUCAUGGGAGUUUUGAGUGCCCAGCAGAGCUUGUGAGGGCGGUGGGGAGCCAUGGAGGGUUUUGAGCAGGGGAGGGCAGGGCCAGAGCUGGACUUUAACGAGACAAGUAUGGCAGUGGUGCUGGCUCGUGGUGGCGAGUGUGGUCUCUACUGUCACACAGACCUGGGUUCGAAUCCCCUGUCAGCUACUGCUUUGUCAUGAGACCCCGGGUGGGAGACGAUCUCUCCUGCUUCAGUUUGCCUUUCCAUAAGACAGGGGUUGGUUACCCUAUAGUGUCUGUUGGGUGAAUUCAAUGAGAUGAUGCAGUUGGAAUGUUGUGCAGCCUUAGUAACUGUUAUUAUCAUCAUUAAGAUGAUGCAAAGCGCUUAACACACAGUAGUUGCUCAAUAAAUGGGAUUUUUUUUUUUUUUUUUUUUUUUUUUUUUUUUUUUUGUGGCUGCG